Molecule: non-coding RNA, 23 nt
Filed under: Arabidopsis thaliana (thale cress)
Lineage: Eukaryota; Viridiplantae; Streptophyta; Magnoliopsida; Brassicales; Brassicaceae
Source: RNAcentral
GUUACAACCAGAACAUGAUGAAC